Molecule: long non-coding RNA, 1209 nt
Filed under: Numida meleagris (helmeted guineafowl)
Lineage: Eukaryota; Metazoa; Chordata; Aves; Galliformes; Numididae
Description: lncRNA (ENSNMEG00000004602.1)
Source: RNAcentral
GAAUAAUUCAAAGUCUGCUCUCCAGAAGUCCAAGGUAGCAGUUUUGCUGACUCCCCUCUCCUGACCUCACCAAGAAUAGAGAACUCCACAAUUUCAUGGUUGCUCUGUCCAAGACAGCUCCCGACAUUCACAUCUCCCAACAGUCUUUCUCUGCUCGUGAACAGCAGGUGUCUAGCAGGGUGUCAACGGUUUACAGCCUUUCGGCCCGGUUCCGUGACUAAGGGGACGGGGGAUCCACGGGCCCACGCCCCGGGAAAAGGGAAAAGGGGAAAAGGGUAAGGAGAUGGCCCUGAGAGCAAAGAACAGCGGCAACAAUCUGAGGAGAAACAAACUAAUUUACUAAAUAAGAUAUCGGAAUGCAAAACAACACAGUAUAAUACAAUAUAAUUACAAUUUAAGCUGAUAAAUCCAAUACAGAGAGAGAGAAUGUCCCAAAAUCAAGGUAGGCCUUACUCUACUACCGAUGAUAAGACAGCUGGAGAGCGAGGUGCUGCCAAGAUGAGAGACGGCGGAAAAGGGGACGAGGUCUCGUGAUCUGCAAGUUUUUAUACUGCGAGCUUUUAUCUUUUCCCUCCGGCUGGAAAAUGGUAACAGAGGAGCAAAGUGCCAUGGGGAAUGUAGUAGUCCUUCUCUUCUGAGAACCAGGUACAUUCACUGCAUGAUGUUAUGAUGUGGAGUACCAAUAACCGAAAAUCAUAAAACCAUGACACAGGGCAUCUCCCCUGGUAGGCCCUCUUACCUGCUGCUUUAGUUACUUGGAAAGAAGCUUUGAUUAGGCAGAAAGGUGGAGCAAGGCUGCAUGUCUCUGUGACAUGCAAGCAGGCAGAGGGGUGACCUGUAGACAGCAAAGCCCAAAAGCUGUGUUUAUGUGUGGCACUCUACAGGUUCCUGAAAGCUGAGAAUACAACACCUUUAAAUUAUCAGGUUUGUAUGUGGGUAACAAUUAAUGUUUGGGUCGGAGAUUCAUUCUUGUGUGACACUGAAACUCCAUUUUUUUUUCACAGGGUGUAAUGCCUUUGCAAUCCUUUUAGUUAAUGGUCAACCACAUCUGCACCCUUCUGUGUACAGUGCUGUGAAGACACAGAGUUUAAUUUCUCCACUGGAUCUUCAUCGUUUGUGAAACUACUGGAUCCCAGAGAUCUCCUGGAAGUGUCAUUGGUUGCUGGGAGGAAGAAUAAAUCAGCACAAGGAAAACGAGCUUUGGUGAUA